UGGGGAAUUUUACGCAAUGGUGGAAACCCUGACGUAGCGACACCGCGUGAGCGAAGAAGCCUUUUGGGGUGUAAAGCUCUGUCAGCUGGAACGAACACAAUGACGGUACCAGCAGAGGAAGCAUCGGCUAACUACGUGCCAGCAGCCGCGGUAAGACGUAGGAUGCAAGCGUUGUCCGGAUUCAUUGGGCGUAAAGAGUUCGUAGGUGGUCUGUUAAGUUUGGUGUUAAAGAGCGGGGCCCAACCCCGAUAGUGCACUGAAUACUGGCAGACUUGAGUGCGGUAGAGGUAAGUGGAAUUCCAAGUGUAGCGGUGAAAUGCAUAGAUAUUUGGAAGAACACCGGUGGCGUAAGCGACUUACUGGGCCGUAACUGACACUGAGGAACGAAAGCCGGGGUAGCGAAUG
Molecule: ribosomal RNA, 405 nt
Filed under: uncultured bacterium
Lineage: Bacteria
Description: bacterial SSU rRNA
Rfam family: Bacterial small subunit ribosomal RNA
Source: RNAcentral